UAGGGAAUAUUGGACAAUGGGUGAGAGCCUGAUCCAGCCAUGCCGCGUGCAGGAAGAAGGCGUUAUGCGUUGUAAACUGCUUUUGCCAGGGGAUAAAAAGACCGUGCGCGGUUAAUUGAAGGUACCUGGUGAAUAAGCCACGGCUAACUACGUGCCAGCAGCCGCGGUAAUACAGAGGGUGCAAGCGUUAAUCGGACUUACUGGGCGUAAAGGGUGCGUAGGCGGAAGGAUAAGUUAGUUGUGAAAGGCCUGGGCUUAACCUAGGAACUGCAAUUAAGGCUGUCCAUCUAGAGUUGAGUAGAGGGGAGCGGAAUUUCCGGUGUAGCGGUGAAAUGCGUAGAUAUCGGAAGGAACAUCAGUUGCGAAGGCGGCUCUCUGGACUCAAACUGACGCUGAGGCGCGAAAGCCAGGGGAGCAAACGGGGAUUAGAUACCCCAGUAGUCCCUGAGCGGGCUGGCAAGGCGCAU
This 467-nucleotide ribosomal RNA is filed under the name uncultured bacterium. Its description in RNAcentral is "bacterial SSU rRNA". It matches the Rfam family "Bacterial small subunit ribosomal RNA", at positions 355 to 825 of the family's 1533-position model. The record is from RNAcentral.